RNAcentral lists this ribosomal RNA (468 nucleotides) under uncultured bacterium. Its description in RNAcentral is "bacterial SSU rRNA". It matches the Rfam family "Bacterial small subunit ribosomal RNA", at positions 335 to 802 of the family's 1533-position model. The record is from RNAcentral.
ACUCCUACGGGAGGCAGCAGUAGGGAAUAUUGGUCAAUGGGCGAGAGCCUGAACCAGCCAUGCCGCGUGCAGGAAGACGGCUUUCUGAGUUGUAAACUGCUUUUGUAUGGGAAGAAAAAGUCCUUGCGAGGAAAAUUGCCGGUACCGUACGAAUAAGCACCGGCUAACUCCGUGCCAGCAGCCGCGGUAAUACGGAGGGUGCAAGCGUUGUCCGGAUUUAUUGGGUUUAAAGGGUGCGUAGGCGGAUCUUUAAGUCAGUGGUGAAAUCCUGCAGCUUAACUGUAGAACUGCCAUUGAUACUGGAGGUCUUGAGUAUACUAGAGGUAGGCGGAAUUUAUGGUGUAGCGGUGAAAUGCAUAGAUACCAUAAAGAACACCAAUAGCGUAGGCAGCUUACUGGAGUAUAACUGACGCUGAGGCACGAAAGCAUGGGUAGCGAACAGGAUUAGAUACCCCUGGUAGACUGUCA